RNAcentral lists this ribosomal RNA (850 nucleotides) under uncultured beta proteobacterium. Its description in RNAcentral is "bacterial SSU rRNA". It matches the Rfam family "Bacterial small subunit ribosomal RNA", at positions 72 to 919 of the family's 1533-position model. The record is from RNAcentral. Lineage: Bacteria; Pseudomonadati; Pseudomonadota; Betaproteobacteria.
CGCGGGGCAACCUGGCGGCGAGCGGCGAACGGGUGAGUAAUGCAUCGGAACGUGUCCAUGUCGUGGGGGAUAGCCCGGCGAAAGCCGGAUUAAUACCGCAUACGCCCGAGAGGGGUAAGUGGGGGACCGCAAGGCCUCACGCGAUUGGAUCGGCCGAUGUCCGAUUAGCUAGUUGGCGGGGUAAAGGCCCACCAAGGCGAUGAUCGGUAGCUGGUCUGAGAGGAUGAUCAGCCACACUGGGACUGAGACACGGCCCAGACUCCUACGGGAGGCAGCAGUGGGGAAUUUUGGACAAUGGGGGCAACCCUGAUCCAGCCAUUCCGCGUGAGUGAAGAAGGCCUUCGGGUUGUAAAGCUCUUUUGUCCGGAACGAAACGGGUAGCGUGAAUAUCGCUGCCUACUGACGGUACCGGAAGAAUAAGCACCGGCUAACUACGUGCCAGCAGCCGCGGUAAUACGUAGGGUGCGAGCGUUAAUCGGAAUUACUGGGCGUAAAGCGUGCGCAGGCGGUUUUGCAAGCCGGAUGUGAAAUCCCCGGGCUUAACCUGGGAAUGGCAUUUGGGACUGCAAGGCUGGAGUGCGGCAGAGGAGACUGGAAUUCCUGGUGUAGCAGUGAAAUGCGUAGAUAUCAGGAGGAACACCGAUGGCGAAGGCAGGUCUCUGGGCUGACACUGACGCUCAUGCACGAAAGCGUGGGGAGCAAACAGGAUUAGAUACCCUGGUAGUCCACGCCCUAAACGAUGUCGACUGGUUGUUGGGGGUUUGACACUCUCAGUAACGAAGCUAACGCGUGAAGUCGACCGCCUGGGGAGUACGGCCGCAAGGUUAAAACUCAAAGGAAUUGACGGGGA